Molecule: long non-coding RNA, 4033 nt
Filed under: Sus scrofa (pig)
Lineage: Eukaryota; Metazoa; Chordata; Mammalia; Artiodactyla; Suidae
Description: lncRNA (ENSSSCG00055011378.1)
Source: RNAcentral
AGCAUAUUGAAGUUCCUGGGCCAGGAAUCAAAUCUGAGCUAUAGCUGCAACCUAUGGUACAGCUAUGCCAACAGAGGAUCCUUAACCCACUGAGCCAGGCUGGGAUUGAUCACAAGCUUCGGCAGCAACCCAAGCCGCUGCAGAGACAACACCAGCUUCCUAACCCACUGUGUCACAGUGGGAAUUCCAAUAUACACUUUUUAUAGAUCACUUUAGCAAAAAUAAAACCAUUCUAGAAAAUAUAUAUAUAUAUUACAUAUAAUUAUAAAUAAUUUAGUGCACCCAGAAACUUCAUUUUAUAACAAAACGAUACAAACAAAAUAUUCCAAUCUGUAAUGUGAAUAUGAUUACAUACUUCUCAUCAAAGCAAGGUUAUUUUAGAAAACAUAAGCCAGGAGUUCCCAUCGUGACUCAGUGGUUAACGAAUCCGACUAAGAACCGUGAGGUUAGUUCGAUCCCUUGCCUAGCUCAGUGGGUUAAGGAUCCGGCAUUGCCAUGAGCUGUAUGUCGAGACACGGCUCCGAUCCUGCGUUGCUGUGACUCUGGUGUAGGCUGGCGGCUACAGCUCCGAUUAGACCCCUAGCCUUGGAACCUCCAUAUGCUGCGGGAGUGGCCCUAAAAAAAAAAAAAAAGACAAAAAAUAAAUAAAUAAAAAAGAAAAAAAGAAAACAUAAGCCAUAUGAAGACUCCAUCUUGCAUUACAUAGAUGUCUUUAAGUUUUCCUUAGGAACCUACAUAACCUGAAAUCAGCAAUUCAAAGUCAGCCCUUUGUGACUUUAAUUUUAAAAGACUUUAAAGGAAGACUUCUUUAAAUAGAACCCACAGGUGACAUUUAUGCAUCAUGUCUAAUAAGCAGCAAAUCUCAGUUCCACAAUCAUAUUAUGCAUUCUUCAUCUUUAUUUGUGGUAGAUAUCAAGACUGCUGUUCACUGUUACUCUCAUUUGUACGAUGUGUUCUCUCUCUUUCUCUCUGAUUUGCCAAUUAUUUGCAAUUUUCUUGCCCAUUUAAACAAAUCAGGUUUGGGGCUCACUAUUCUCUUCUCCUUUGGACUGGAAGGAUUUAAUUAACACAUUUCUGUUUUAUUUUCUGUUUCACUUACUCCUGGAGCUUUAUUUCAUUGUUCUUUUCUAUUUUAAAUUCAGUUCAUUAUGCCUUUUUUACUUGCUAAGAGAUACCAUUAAGGCUAUACAUUUGUACACCAGAGAGGAUUUAAUUUGUGGGAUUCUUGGUCAUUUUGAAUCAAACAGUCUGUAAAUUUAGUCUGAAUUAUUUUUAACUAAAAAUUUCAUAGAAUAAAUUGUUGCUUGUUUGAUCAUAUAUCACUUAUAUGUGAAUCUAAGAAAAGGAUACAAAUGAACCUAUUUGUAGAAUGGAAACAGACUCACAAACUUUGGAAAACUACGGUUACCAAAGGGGACAGGUUGGGGGAGGGAGCUUGUUUGACUUUUACAUUUCUAAAUUUUUAAAAUUUCCUGAGAUAUAGAUUGGGGUUAGGCAGGUAAAGAAUAUAUCUUUUGCUGUGAAUUUGUAUAUUUAUUUCAUGGUAUUAAGAAAUCUGGCCAGUAUGAGCAUCAAUUUUAGAAAUAUAUCGCACUUUUCUUCAUAGCUUAAUGCAUGCUUAUUGUUUGCAAAUAUGCUAUCAGUCUAAAAAAGUCAUUCUUAGUAGUGUACAGCAGUUGUUGUACCACUAAUACCUGAAUUUGCCAAUCUUCUUGAAUAAUAUCCUCUAUAUCCCACUUACAUUUUAUUGUUUGUGUAUCACUUUUGACAGAAAUAUGGUUAUAAUUGAUCACUGUAGAUUUGUCAAAUUGCCCUUGUAUUCUAUAACUCAUUUUUAUUAUUUUAUAAAACCAUUUUUAUUAUUUUAUAAAAAUAAUAAAGGCUGAAGCACUAUCUUCUAGUGGACUGUCUUUUAACAAUUAUUUUUCUAUUUGAUGCAUUAGUUCUUAAAUUAUAUAUUUAUUUUAAUCAUUGAGUUCAUUUUGCCUGAUAUAUCUUUGCCUAUCCAUUUGCUAUAAUAGCUUUAUCACCCUAGCUGACCUCUCUGUGUUAUUUUAAGCAACAUAGAGCUAAGAUGUAUAAAUUAAUCUAGGAGCCCGUUUCAAAUAGGAAAUGAACCUCUGAUUUAUCAGUGUGGAGUCCUGAGGCUUCCCUGGCCUUUGUUUUAAUCCCCUCUCAGUCCAUGCCAACCUCUUCUUUCCCCAACCCCACAGGAGAAGAGUCUCACUUAACCUAAACAACUGUUUUCCUAGGUUUAUCGAGGUUACAAACACUGAAGCCAAGCAAAGGGGCAGUGGGGCCCAAGUAGGCCAACUCUUCAGCAGACUGUCUUCAAGUAUUACUAUCCAUCACCCUCUCUCUAAGGGAAAAAAGAUUUUUGUGAGGUCCACAACCAGCAAGUUUCAGCUUCAGUUUUUGUGUUUUGAAUUUCUCUGCUCUUUCUCACUCACUCUAGUUCAUUUAUCCAACACAGGUUAGAAAUUCAUCCAAAUGUCUUAUUUACUGAUUGAGUCCUUUCCUGCUUCCCACAAUUCUUACAUGCUUAUUUCUUUGCACAUACAUUUUUCUAUCAUUUCAAUGAAAUUGGGGAAGGAGAAGCUCUAAGGGUUAAAUCUACCAUCUUAAACCUUGUCAAUACUCUUAAGUAUCUAUUUUCAACAAUGAUUUUCUACAGAUACUGGCAAAUUUUUUUUGGUCAAAUUUUCAUCCAAUUCCACCUACUUCCAUAGCAGAGGAUUUGAAGGAAAAAAAUGAACAUGUCCAAUAUCAUAAAAUAAUGCUAAGAAUUUUUAACACUAAAAUACAACAUUGAAAGACAAGAUAGCAAAGCCAAACAAAAUAUUUGUUAUUUCUCUAUAGGACAGUCUGAUUUAAACUUAUUAGGCAAAUAUGAUAUAAACAGGUUUUAUAAAGUAUGCUGGAGAUAAAUGAAGUGUUGCAGCACAAUAUUCAUCAGCACAUGGCCUGGAGGCAGACCUCAAGGGAUUAUACCUUUGAGGCACCAUUGGGUAGCUGUGUGACUUUGGGGAAGUUACUUAAACUCUCUAACAAUUAAUUUCAUUACCUGUAGAAUGUGAUAAGAGUGCCUGUCUACUAAAAUGAGAAGAGGUUUAAAUAAUAUAUGAAAACAGUUAAGCCCAUAAUAGUUUCUCAAUAAAUAUUUCUCAUGGUUAUUAAAAGCUCUGUUUCUUAGAAAGAGGUAGUACUGACCAGAAACAUAGACUAUAUACCCUCCCAACAUUAAUUAUUCCAGUUACAAGAUUUUCUGUAAAGCUAUGUUAUAAGUGAGUUUAAAACAUUCCGCUAUUUGGUACUUAGUACAAAAGCUCAAGAAAAAUGACUAAAGUGCUUUCUCUUGGUCUAAUUUGCAAUUUGUAUUACUUUGUCUGUAGAAAGCAGAGCCCAAACUGGUAGAUUUGGAUAAUUCAAAAUUUUUGGUUCUCAUAUCAUAUCCUAUGCCACAGUAAAAUGAUUUUAUGCUGAUUUUAUGUGAGAAAAUUCUCAUUUUUGAUUAUAUAAAACUUUCACCAAAAAAAAAAAAAAAAAAGUCAUAGGAAGGAGAUUAAAGAGUCAGUGCUAAAGCAGACUCAAGCAAAAACUCACCAUCUGUAGCAGGAGGACUUCUUAAAACCCAGGGGUGUCUUCUUACCCAACUGUCAACACCAGGAAUUGUGCCAAGGGGACAGAUGCUAAAAUUGGAAAGUCUCAUCUAGGGCUUGACAUCAGAGUUCUAUGAUUUCUCUCUAAAAAAGCAUCAGUAACCAUAAUGGCAACAAAGUAUUAAGGAGAAAACAAAAGCACUGUCCUUAAUGAAGAAUGGCUUCCAUUAAAUAGUUAAUACGACUAAAAUUCUAUUAACAAAAAUGAACAUACUGGUUUGUGGGAUGGGAAGUAAAAUCUGUAUUGAACUAGUUUCCAAAAGACCAGGAGGUAUUUUUCAAAUCAUUGGCAACAACAGGGAACAUAUGAUCAAUCAGGAAAAUAAUAACAGAAGCCACCACUAAAAAUAGCUUCCAAUGACAGUGCAGAGUUG